UAUAAAUCAAAUGUUAAUAAAAUAAUAAAAACAUGUAAAGUUCACUACUACGCGGAUGAUACGCAACUAUAUUGCUCGUUUUUUAAAGAGCAAGCUAGGGAGCCGCUUCAAUGUAUUAGGUGGCGACACAUUGGCGGUUGCGGCAGCGGUUACAACCGCGAUAGCGUUCACAUUUUCCGCAAAUUUCGCGACAGUCAGUAGUAUGGAGUUGACAGAAACAGUUGCCAUAAUUUACGCUCUCAAAAUUAAGAAAUCUAAACGAAAAAGAAGGUACUGGGUCCAUCCGUUAUACGAAAGGCUUCUAAAUGAAUGAGCGUUACGUCUCUUGAUGAAUUAGUGACGUUGAUGAGACCUCACUUGCAAAAGUCAAAUAGUCACUUUAGAGAUUGCAUCACUGUGGAAGAAAGAUUAACAGUCACUAUAAGGUAUCUCGCGACUGGAAUGCAUUUUGCUGCUUUGCAGUAUUCAUUUUUAAUGGAAAGAAGUACAAUCGCAAUGAUCAUUAAUGAAUGUUGUCGUGCAUUAUUACAACCACUAGAAAUGCCCGAACCUACUGUUGAAAAAUGGAAAGAAAUAGCAGAGGAAUUUGAUCAGAAAUCUAAUUUCCCCCACUGCUUUGGGGCAGUCGAUGGGAAACAUAUUCGUAUAAUGUCGCCAGAACAUAGCGGAUCGGCAUUUUUUAAUUACAAGAAAUAUUUUUCGCUCGUGCUUAUGGCGAUUUCUGAUGCAAACUAUUGCUUCACAGUAAUAGAUGUAGGAGCAUAUGGACCGGAGUCCGAUUGCAAUGUUUUUAGGCAAAGUACUGUUGGAAGAAAGUUGUAUAACAGUGAGCUUAUAAUACCCAGUCCAUCAGUUUUGGCAGAUAAUUGUGACCAACGUAUUUAUCCCUAUGUGUUGGUGGGCGAUGAAGCUUUUGCUUUACAUCAAAAUUUAUUAAGGCCACAUCCAAAACGUAAUCUGAACGAGAAUAAAAGGAUUUUCAAUUACAGAUUAACAAGAACUAGGAGGUUCGUGGAAUGUUGCCAUUCUGGCCAAUAAGUGGCGUGUGUUUUAUACUAGCAUAUUAGUGCAACCAGAUUUUGCAGUGCUGGUAAUAAAAGCAGCUUGUGUCUUGCAUAACUUUGUUCGAAAACGGGACGAAUACAAAUUUGAAGACACGUUAACUUGCUGCUUAAAUGAUAUAGAUGUACAUGGGACUGGAGGACAACAACUACGAGGACAACAUAUCAGAGAUCUUUUUACUGAGUAUUUUGUAUCGCCUGAAGGCAGUCGGCAAAAUGCUAUGAUAUAGAUAAGUAUUACUGCAUUGUGUUUAUUUAAUAGAUAGGUAUAUUAUUACCUUUGUAAGCAAUUAUUAUAUUAAAACACUUUCUGUACA
This is a long non-coding RNA of Anthonomus grandis grandis, 1378 nucleotides long. RefSeq lists it as uncharacterized. The transcript is spliced from 3 exons. The record is from RefSeq and is a predicted model, not a curated record. NCBI's taxonomy places the organism in Eukaryota, Metazoa, Arthropoda, Insecta, Coleoptera, Curculionidae.